GCGGGCAUUGACCGUAGCUCGGUGCGAUCCGCACUAAGGAACAAUGAACUCGGAAGCAGACGGCCCCCCGGCGUGCGCAAGGGAGCCCGAUGCGUCGGAAAUUCCUCGGAAUCAAAUGACUCUCGGCAAUGGAUAUCUCGGCUCUUGCAUCGAUGAAGAACGUAGUGAAAUGCGAUACUUGGUGUGAAUUGCAGAAUCUCGUGAUACCAUUGAGUCUUUGAACGCAAGUUGUGCCAGCGGCCUUGUGGUCAGAGGGCUAUAACGCCUAAGCUUGGGCGUCAUGGCAUCGUCGCCUCCGCUCCAUGCGUGCGUGGUGUGGCGUGAGCGCUGAAAUUAGGCCCCGUGUGCCCUCAAGGGCACAGUCGGUCGAAGAGCGGGCAUGUCGGCAGAACGUCGGGCACGAUGGGCGUUGGUCGCCGUGAGCGAGGAUACAGAACAUCGUCCUCGUCGUUUUGGUGAUGAGCCCUCAACUCAAGAGAGACCCUGUGCGAUGGACGGCUAUCGGAUAAGAAGCUGCCNUGUCCAUCUACUUACUUGCGGCCCCAAGUCAUGAGAGGCCCCCCCGCCCGAG
Molecule: ribosomal RNA, 571 nt
Filed under: Boesenbergia sp. 10 NFL-2013
Lineage: Eukaryota; Viridiplantae; Streptophyta; Magnoliopsida; Zingiberales; Zingiberaceae
Description: eukaryotic LSU rRNA
Rfam family: 5.8S ribosomal RNA (bases 118-275)
Source: RNAcentral